Sebastes umbrosus (honeycomb rockfish) is the source of this 202-nucleotide long non-coding RNA. RefSeq lists it as uncharacterized. The transcript is spliced from 3 exons. The record is from RefSeq and is a predicted model, not a curated record. Lineage: Eukaryota; Metazoa; Chordata; Actinopteri; Perciformes; Sebastidae.
GCGUUAGCUUCUGGCCAUCAGCAGUAGUCCGAAUCACUUCACCGGCUGUGUGUUUCAAAUACUCGCUGCCUUGAUGACCCAGCUGCACACGGACCACAGAGAGAUGAGCUGAGGCUUUUCAGGUCAGGUAGAAUCUUAACAUAAUGUCAUCUCUAUUGAUCUAGUUCGUUUGCUUGCUUCCAUGGCUGCAGAAGGCUGGACU